GACGAACNUUACAUGCAGUCGAGGGGCAUCGGGGGUGAAAGCUUGCUUUCACCUGCCGGCGACCGGCGCACGGGUGAGUAACACGUAUCCAACCUGCCUCAUACUCGGGGAUAGCCUUUCGAAAGAAAGAUUAAUACCCGAUGGCAUAGCCCUUUCGCAUGAUUGGGUUAUUAAAGAAUUUCGGUAUGAGAUGGGGAUGCGUUCCAUUAGAUAGUUGGUGAGGUAACGGCUCACCAAGUCCACGAUGGAUAGGGGUUCUGAGAGGAAGGUCCCCCACACUGGUACUGAGACACGGACCAGACUCCUACGGGAGGCAGCAGUGAGGAAUAUUGGUCAAUGGGCGAGAGCCUGAACCAGCCAAGUCGCGUGAAGGAUGAAGGAUCUAUGGUUUGUAAACUUCUUUUAUAUGGGAAUAAAGUGAGGAACGUGUUCCUUUUUGUAUGUACCAUAUGAAUAAGCAUCGGCUAACUCCGUGCCAGCAGCCGCGGUAAUACGGAGGAUGCGAGCGUUAUCCGGAUUUAUUGGGUUUAAAGGGUGCGUAGGUGGUUAAUUAAGUCAGCGGUGAAAGUUUGUGGCUCAACCAUAAAAUUGCCGUUGAAACUGGUUGACUUGAGUAUAUUUGAGGUAGGCGGAAUGCGUGGUGUAGCGGUGAAAUGCAUAGAUAUCACGCAGAACUCCGAUUGCGAAGGCAGCUUACUAAACUAUAACUGACACUGAAGCACGAAAGCGUGGGGAUCAAACAGGAUUAGA
This 750-nucleotide ribosomal RNA is filed under the name uncultured bacterium. RNAcentral describes it as "bacterial SSU rRNA". It matches the Rfam family "Bacterial small subunit ribosomal RNA", at positions 41 to 782 of the family's 1533-position model. The record is from RNAcentral.